RNAcentral lists this non-coding RNA (21 nucleotides) under Caenorhabditis elegans. The record is from RNAcentral. Lineage: Eukaryota; Metazoa; Nematoda; Chromadorea; Rhabditida; Rhabditidae.
UGCGUUUUCGAGUAAAUAUAC